Molecule: ribosomal RNA, 266 nt
Filed under: uncultured archaeon
Lineage: Archaea
Description: partial 16S ribosomal RNA
Rfam family: Archaeal small subunit ribosomal RNA
Source: RNAcentral
AGACGUCUACAUUAGAUACCCCGGUAGUCCCAGCCCUAAACGAUGCGCGUUAGGUGUAUCGGUGACCACGAGUCACCGAGGUGCCGAAGGGAAACCGUGAAACGUGCCGCCUGGGAAGUACGGUCGCAAGGCUGAAAACUUAAAGGAAUUGGCGGGGGAGCACCACAACGGGUGGAGCCUGCGGUUUAAUUGGACUCAACGCCGGGAAGCUCACCGGAUAAGACAGCGGAAUGAUUGCCGGGCUGAAGACCCUGCAUGACCAGCUG